Molecule: ribosomal RNA, 207 nt
Filed under: uncultured bacterium
Lineage: Bacteria
Description: partial 16S ribosomal RNA
Rfam family: Bacterial small subunit ribosomal RNA
Source: RNAcentral
CGCGUAGGCGGCGCGGUAAGUCAAAGGUGAAAUCCCUCGGCUCAACUGAGGGACUGCCUUUGAAACUGUCGUGCUUGAGGCCGGGAGAGGGUAGUGGAAUUCCCAGUGUAGCGGUGAAAUGCGUAGAUAUUGGGAGGAACACCAGUGGCGAAGGCGGCUACCUGGACCGGAACUGACGCUGAUGCGCGAAAGCGUGGGUAGCAAACA